Cinara cedri is the source of this 1380-nucleotide non-coding RNA. The record is from the annotation of a GenBank genome assembly. Lineage: Eukaryota; Metazoa; Arthropoda; Insecta; Hemiptera; Aphididae.
GGAACGGACAACACCGGGCGAGGGACAGCUAAUAUUCUAUGUAGUAACCUUAGAUUAUCUGGCCAACAAUAAGCAGUAUAUACAUGUUAAUAAUUAAAUGCCAAUACUUUUGAAUUCUUUUAAAAUAAAUUUUACAUUUUAUAAUUCCACAUAAAGUAAACAUAAUUCAACGAGUUUUUUCCUUAUUUAUAGUAGAGGUAGAAAAAUAAACCAUUGAGCGAUCAAGUAUUAUUUUAUCGCGGAUCAACGACACUCAUCAGAUUAUUUUUUCUAAAAUAAUAAAGACUAUAACGAACACUAUUAUACACAUUAUCACAUGCGUACAUACAUUUAUUGCACUAAAAGGUGCUUAUGAUAAAUACAAUUUUUUUUGUAAAAGCAUUUUAUCCCCCCCCUCACAAAUGUAACCAAAUUACGCCACUGAUAAAUUGAAUCAGUGUGUCACAAAUCAAUGACUCGAAAAUUCAGUACCAACAUUAUAAACCACUAAAUCAACAAUCUAAGCCUUUAAAUGAGUUGAAUCAGUAAGGUCACCAAAUCCAUUAUCGUAAUAUCGUCUUAUCAAUUUCAGUGUAAUACUGUUCCUAUAGAAACACGUUCAGCUAUCAACAAUAUAAUUUGAUUUGAUUAAUUGAAUUUAGGUUCAAAUCAUGACCUGUUAAAAUAUGAUUUGACUUAUCAAUUGAGAAUUAAUGAUUUAAUGAGUUGACUUGAUGAAUUUACUCACUUAAGUGAAUUGAAUUGAAUGAAUUGAUUCAUCAAAGUGAGUCAUAAUUCCCAUAUCUACUGUCAAUACGUCUUCAAUAGAUACUACAUACCUAUUUAGUUUAAAAGUUGUCCUAUGGUAUACCAUAGUUUAUACACAAUCUGUUUUGUUGGUAACUGGUAAGAUAACGAAUAUUUUUUAACUAAAAUACGGUUUGGAUGAAAUAUUUUCGAUGAAUUUAUUUUUCAGAUAAAAUACGUUCCUACUGAAAUACUUUUCAGAUACUAUAUCUUCGGAUAAAAUAUUUCCGGACAUUAUAUAGACCCUCGUUUAUAUAUAAGUAUAUAACAACUAUUAGUACUAUAUUAAUUCAUGUUGGUAACAAGUAAAUGAUAAUUUCAAUUUCCAAGGUCAGAGUCGUGAUUGCCAUAUUGCCGCCAGUGGAGAGCAUCAGCUCCCACCUAUUACUGUGAAAUUAACCUGGCGACAAUACCUACUACUAGGUAGGUACUUAAAGAACAAAUAGCAGCAGUGAUCGGCAAUGGCCGACUGCAUAAUAAAUAUUUAAUGGAAAAUAACAUUUACUACAAUAUUGUAGACUCUCCAGCGUUCCCAGAGAUUUUUUAGAUGACUGAAUAAUUAAACCCUGUACAAGUAUAAGGAAAAUAGUAUUA